AGAGUUUGAGUCCUGGCGUCAGGGAUGAACGCUAGCGGCAGGCCUAACACAUAGCAAGUCGCGGGGCAGCACGGGUAGCAAGUACCUGGUGGCGACCGGCGCACGGGUGCGUAACGCGUAUGCAACCUGCCCCCAUCAGGGGAAUAGCCGCCGAAAGGCGGAUUAAUGCCCCAUAGGCCCAGGGCGCCGCAUGGCGCUAUGGGUAAAGCUCCGGCGGAUGGGGAUGGGCAUGCGUGCCAUUAGCUAGUUGGGGCGGUAACGGCGCACCAAGGCGACGAUGGCUAGGGGGUCUGAGAGGAUGGUCCCCCACACUGGUACUGAGACACGGACCAGACUCCUACGGGAGGCAGCAGUGAGGAAUAUUGGUCAAUGGGCGGAAGCCUGAACCAGCCAUUGCCGCGUGCAGGAUGACGGCCCUACGGGUUGUAAACUGCUUUUCCCCGGGAAGAAUAAGCCCCUCGUGAGGGGUGAUGCCGGUACCGGGGGAAUAAGGAUCGGCUAACUCCGUGCCAGCAGCCGC
RNAcentral lists this ribosomal RNA (520 nucleotides) under uncultured bacterium. RNAcentral describes it as "bacterial SSU rRNA". It matches the Rfam family "Bacterial small subunit ribosomal RNA", at positions 8 to 518 of the family's 1533-position model. The record is from RNAcentral.